GCGUGGCAGUCAUAGUGUUGGGCAAAAGGCCGCUCCCGAUGACGUUACCGUUUCAGGUCAUCUCCAGACCAAGUGAAGACUGUAGCACCACCUCAGAUCCACUCACUGAUGACAUCCUGUCUCUUGUCCUGAACCCACCUUUUACAGACAUGAGUGCCAGUGUGCUACAUGUUGGUCAGAUACACAGCUGCUUGACAUCCCUGGUGCACAGAAGCUGAGUUCUAAGAGUUUAUGCCAUUCCUGAAGAAGAGGCCAACAAAGCUGCUAGAUACUAGCAGGUAGAGGGUCCCAUUGCUGGACAUUGCACUUAAAGGCAUUCUAAAGGUGUUCUGUGGAGUUAAGCUGAUAACAGAAGACUGUGAUGAUGCGGGUUCGACUCCGUGCUCCUAUUGCUGUUCAGAAGCCCUUGAACCCAACACCGUCGAUAAUGUCACCGAGAUGAGCUGACAAAUCUCUCAA
Polypterus senegalus (gray bichir) is the source of this 459-nucleotide long non-coding RNA. RefSeq lists it as uncharacterized. The record is from RefSeq and is a predicted model, not a curated record. The transcript is spliced from 3 exons. NCBI's taxonomy places the organism in Eukaryota, Metazoa, Chordata, Cladistia, Polypteriformes, Polypteridae.